RNAcentral lists this ribosomal RNA (496 nucleotides) under uncultured bacterium. RNAcentral describes it as "partial 16S ribosomal RNA". It matches the Rfam family "Bacterial small subunit ribosomal RNA", at positions 29 to 507 of the family's 1533-position model. The record is from RNAcentral.
ACGAACGCUGGCGGCGUGCCUAAUACAUGCAAGUAGCACGCUGAAGAGAGGAGCUUGCUCUUCUUGGAUGAGUUGCGAACGGGUGAGUAACGCGUAGGUAACCUGCCUUGUAGCGGGGGAUAACUAUUGGAAACGAUAGCUAAUACCGCAUAACAAUGGAUGACACAUGUCAUUUAUUUGAAAGGGGCAAUUGUUCCACUACAAGAUGGACCUGCGUUGUAUUAGCUAGUAGGUGAGGUAAUGGCUCACCUAGGCGACGAUACAUAGCCGACCUGAGAGGGUGAUCGGCCACACUGGGACUGAGACACGGCCCAGACUCCUACGGGAGGCAGCAGUAGGGAAUCUUCGGCAAUGGGGGCAACCCUGACCGAGCAACGCCGCGGGAGUGAAGAAGGUUUUCGGAUCGUAAAGCUCUGUUGUAAGUCAAGAACGGGUGUGAGAGUGGAAAGUUCACACUGUGACGGUAGCUUACCAGAAAGGGACGGCUAACUACGUG